GAGUCACUUUGUAAACCAGCGUCUGCAACAACGACACAGAAUGACUAAAGAUGGAAACUCAACAUUUAAACGUGAGCUCAACAGUCAUCUUAUAAAAGUGAAACAACAAAUAGUUUUUAUUAUCUAAUCCUCGUCAAUAAACAAAAGGUCACUAACUUAUCAACUCAUCAGCUGCUGGUUUGUAGAUGUCUUCUAUUUUCUUCAGUAAACCCGACAUGACUUCACCUGUAAAGCGGAAUAAAAGCAGCAUUUAUUAUUGUGUGGAAGAGAGGAAGCUUCACCUGGUGCUGCUUGUGGACGGCGUUCACUUUGGGUUUUCCAUUAAAAAAGAUUUGUGAAAAUGACAGUUGUAAGGAGAAGCAGAAUGAUGCAACAAUGGAUUUUUGUCACGGUGUGGUUCACUUCCUGUUGUAUUUUGUAGUUUUCUGCCACUCGUGUCCCCGGGUAACUUCACUUCCUGCCUUGUCCCGUCAUCCCCUGUGAUCGUCUAAUAGUUUCCACCUGUGUCCAAUCACCUGCACCUCCCUUGUGUAUUUAAGCCGUGUGUCUCUUGUGUCACUGGUCGCGUCAUUGUCUUUUGCCACGCAUGUUCUUCUCUCUUGUUGUGGAUAACCGUAGGUUCAUGCCUGUGUGUUUUUGCCCAUUUUGGAUUUUUGACCUUUGACUAUUAAAGUCCUUCUGUUCCUGCAAGUCUGCAUUUUGAGUCCUGCCUUCCACCCCCACCCCUGACAGAAUGACGCGACCCAAGAAGGGCUCAGCAGACCCGCUGCCAGACUACGGUCCGGACUACCUGGACGUAAGAAGUCCCUUCUGGCAGCGGAAAACAAAUUGUGUUUUUGGUCUCAGGAGCUAUCAGCUCGCCUGCCUCGAGCUCCGGGACCUCCUUAAUCCUAAGAGGAGCCCUGGCCAGAGGAAGAACAGACUUCCCGCUGGGCCGCCGAAGCGAUCUCCCGUUCCCGCUGGGCCGCCGAAGCAAUCUCCCGUUCCCGCUGGGCCGCCGCAGCGAUCUCCCGCUGGGCCGCCGCAGCGAUGGCCGCCGCAGCGAUCUCCCGCUGGGCCGCCGCAGCGAUGGCCGCCGCAGCGAUCUCCCGUUGGGCCGCCGCAGCGAUUUCCCGCUGGGCCGCCGCAGCGAUCUCCCGUUCCGAGACUCUCAGUCCCGACACAGACUCGGCCAGUCCCCGCUCCGAGACUCUCAGUCCCGACCCCGGUACCGGCCCCACGAACCAUGCCCCCAGUCCCCGCUCUGAGACUCAGGCUCCCUCCCUCCCAUCCCAUGGUCCUCUCCCACCCUCCCGUGGGUGAUUUGAGGGCCGUCUGGGAUCCGGCCCUUGAGGGGGGGGCUACGGGGUGGGUUAUGGGGGGGGCUGAGCCGCCGACUGCGGAGGUGUUCCGUGUCCCCGAGCUGCCGACGACGACUGCGGAGGUUUCCCGUGUCCCCGAGCUGCCGCCGACAACCGCGGAGGUUUCCCGUGUGCCCGAGCUGCCGCCGACUACCGCGGAGGUUUCCCGUGUGCCCGAGC
Long non-coding RNA from Gasterosteus aculeatus aculeatus (three-spined stickleback), 1520 nucleotides. NCBI's taxonomy places the organism in Eukaryota, Metazoa, Chordata, Actinopteri, Perciformes, Gasterosteidae. The record is from Ensembl.